RNAcentral lists this transfer RNA (88 nucleotides) under Planctomycetota bacterium. Its description in RNAcentral is "tRNA-Ser". It matches the Rfam family "tRNA". Rfam says of the family: Transfer RNA (tRNA) molecules are approximately 80 nucleotides in length. Their secondary structure includes four short double-helical elements and three loops (D, anti-codon, and T loops). The record is from RNAcentral. Lineage: Bacteria; Pseudomonadati; Planctomycetota.
GGAGAGGUGACAGAGUGGUCGAUUGUGGCGGUCUCGAAAACCGUUGAUCCUCACGGAUCCGUGGGUUCGAAUCCCACCCUCUCCGCCA